RNAcentral lists this long non-coding RNA (473 nucleotides) under Vulpes vulpes (red fox). RNAcentral describes it as "lncRNA (ENSVVUG00000009991.1)". The record is from RNAcentral. Lineage: Eukaryota; Metazoa; Chordata; Mammalia; Carnivora; Canidae.
CCUCUCUUUUCAUUACAGAAAGCCAUGUUUUAAUAACACAGACCUACUGUCUAGCCCUAUAUAUACCUCUUCAAACACAGUACCUGCUUUGAUUGGCAAAAGAAGACCUGAUGGCCAAAGGAAUAUUGUUAAUCAAUAAUGGGCAGUGCAUGGAGAGAAACCCUGGCAUGGAAUUAGUUAGAAGACUUACUCAAAUUCAAAACCAGUGGAUCCUAGUACAAUUGAUAGUUGCAAUAUGUGGUCCAACAUUUCAUUGUCACAUUUCAAUAAAGACGAAAAAUGAGGACAUACUCCCGGUGCUUCACAUAUGGUUUUGGUGCCAACACUACUCUGUUCAAUGAAGGAGAUGAUCCAGGACUCUGGACUUUCACCCUCUGGGGCCAUGUUGACAGUAGCAGCCCUGAGGGCCUCUGAGUCACCUGAAGAGUUAUUCUUUCCUUUUCUCAAAGGACAAUACAUGUCCACAGCCAAAC